GAUGAACGCUGGCGGCGUGCCUAAUACAUGCAAGUCGAGCGAACAGACGAGGAGCUUGCUCCUCUGACGUUAGCGGCGGACGGGUGAGUAACACGUGGAUAACCUACCUAUAAGACUGGGAUAACUUCGGGAAACCGGAGCUAAUACCGGAUAAUAUAUUGAACCGCAUGGUUCAAUAGUGAAAGACGGGUUUGCUGGCACUUAUAGAUGGAUCCGCGCCGAAUUAGCUAGGUGGUAAGGUAACGGCUUACCAAGGCGACGAUGCGUAGCCGACCUGAGAGGGUGAUCGGCCACACUGGCACUGAGACACGGUCCAGACUCCUACGGGAGGCAGCAGUAGGGAAUCUUCCGCAAGGGGCGAAAGCCUGACGGAGCAACGCCGCGUGAGUGAUGAAGGUCUUCGGAUCGUAAAACUCUGUUAUUAGUGAAGAACAAAUGUGUAAGUAACUAUGCACGUCUUGACGGUACCUAAUCAGAAAGCCACGGCUAACUACGUG
This 497-nucleotide ribosomal RNA is filed under the name uncultured bacterium. RNAcentral's name for it is "partial 16S ribosomal RNA". It matches the Rfam family "Bacterial small subunit ribosomal RNA", at positions 28 to 507 of the family's 1533-position model. The record is from RNAcentral.